RNAcentral lists this non-coding RNA (282 nucleotides) under Streptomyces afghaniensis 772. RNAcentral's name for it is "Bacterial small subunit ribosomal RNA". It matches the Rfam family "Bacterial small subunit ribosomal RNA", at positions 1 to 276 of the family's 1533-position model. Lineage: Bacteria; Bacillati; Actinomycetota; Actinomycetes; Kitasatosporales; Streptomycetaceae. The record is from Rfam by way of RNAcentral.
UUCACGGGGAGUUUGAUCCUGGCUCAGGACGAACGCUGGCGGCGUGCUUAACACAUGCAAGUCGAACGAUCGAACCACUUGGUGGGAUUAGUGGCGAACGGGUGACGUAACACGUGGGCAAAUCGUGCCCCUGCACUCUGGGACAAGCCCUGGAAAACGGGGUCUAAAUACCCGGAAUACAAACCACUAGGGGCAAUCUCGUUGGUGGUAGAAAGCUCCGGCGUGCAGAUGAAGCCCGCGGCCUAGUCAGCUUGUUGGUGAGGUAAUGGCUCACCAAGGCGA